RNAcentral lists this long non-coding RNA (1055 nucleotides) under Mus spicilegus (steppe mouse). Its description in RNAcentral is "lncRNA (ENSMSIG00000019263.1)". The record is from RNAcentral. Lineage: Eukaryota; Metazoa; Chordata; Mammalia; Rodentia; Muridae.
GAACAGCCUGGGCUGGGAGGCACUGCGCACGCGCGCCGAGUCGGGCGGAAAAAUAAACGAGUUGAUGGAAGACUGAACAUAACUUUACCCAGGAGGGAAAACGAAAGAACCCGAAGGAUCCCGAGGCUUUCCUGUCUGAGUACCGCUGCACUCACCGCGCCUCGGAGUCCCCGCCCCCUACCCUCUGAUUGGCUGCUGUGCAGAACGCGCGAGUGACUGGCACGGUGGCUAUAGGUUCUCACCCUUGGGAGGAUGCCAUGGAAACAAAAAGGAGCCUCUCCCGACUCUCCGAUUAAUUCUCUAAGCAUGCCUCUUGCAGACACAACCCACGCACUCUUUAAAACAUCUGAAUGGAUCAGUUUGAAUGAACCAUCGCAACCUCAAAAAGAUCAAGACGUGAGAGGAGGCACACUUGCGCUACCAGAAAAUAAAGAUGCUUGUUAACUGUACAUUAAAGAAAUUAAGAUGUCUGGAUGGAUAAACAUACCGAUGGAACAGAAUAGGGAAGCAAGAUGCAGCCUCACCUUUAUGCAUAGUUUAUAAUAACAAAGGUGUCACAAAUUUAAAUAAUAAUAAAAGGUAGCACAACAGAGUUAGGGGAAAGGACCUACUUGACAUCCGACUGUGUGCUUGCUUAUAGGGAAAGAAUAUGAAAUCGGAUUCUUGUUAACACUAAACACAGCAGUAAGUCCCAAGAGAAUUGUUGACCUGAAAGUGACAGAAGCGGUGAGCUUGGCUGACGACAUAGGGGAAUACCUACACCUCAGUUUAAACAAAGCCCGAAUAAAACGCACUGUGCUACUCCACGUACCAUCAGAAGAGUGAAAAUAUCUGGGCCUGUUGCUCAAUGGUGAACUGCAAGCCACUCAGGGCCUGGCAUACUAAGAGAAAAGACAUAUGGAUGUAUUUACAAGACCAGGUGAAGUCUAGGUGUCAUACAAAGACCUGGAUAACAAUCCAUCCUCCUCAGUUGGCAAGAUGCAGCCAGGUAAGCAAUUUGAAUGUAUUAAGCCUCUUUGGUAAAAGAAUAACCAUGGUGCCUUUGCCUGCCAGUG